Molecule: ribosomal RNA, 701 nt
Filed under: Planctomycetota bacterium
Lineage: Bacteria; Pseudomonadati; Planctomycetota
Description: bacterial LSU rRNA
Rfam family: Bacterial large subunit ribosomal RNA
Source: RNAcentral
GUGGUCAAGCUCCAAAGGGCACAUGGGGGAUGUCUUGGCAUCAGGAGGCUUUGAAGGGCGCGGAAGACUGCGAUAAGCCUGGGGAAACCGUCAAACAGGUGAUGAUCCCGGGAUACCCGAACUGACAUGAACUGAAUUCAUAGGUUCAUGUAGCGAACGCGGAGAACUGAAACAUCUCAGUAUCCGUAGGAAAAGAAAGAAAAAUCGAUUUCCUUAGUAGUGGCGAGCGAAAGGGAAAUAGCCCAAACCGUAGUGGUUUCCACCGCGGGGUUGUAGGGCCCUCCACAAGAGUUAUCAAAUGAUUGGCUAGCAGAAUGAUCUGGAAAGGUCGUCCAUAGAGGGUGACAGGCCCGUAUGCGAAAGCUGAUUGUCUCUGGAGGGUACCCUGAGUAGGUCGAGCCACGUGGAAUCUCGACUGAAUCAACGGGGACCAUCCCGUAAGGCUAAAUACUACCUGAUGACCGAUAGUGAACUCAGUAGAGUGAUCGAAAGAUGAGAAGAACCCCUGCUAGGGGAGGAAUGUGAACCUGAAACCAUGUGCCUACAAGCGGUCGGAGCGCUAUGGCUGGCAACAGCAAUGCGUGACGGCGUGCCUUUUGCAUAAUGAUCCGGCGAGUUACCGUCAGCGGCUCGGUUAAGGUCCUCAGGACCGUAGCCACAGGGAAACCGAGUCUGAAUAGGGCGACACAUGUCGCUGGUGG